UAAUUUUUUCCUAAUUGGGUGCAGCUCUGGAGAAGCUUUUGGAGAAACAUGCUGGGAAAUAUGCUACAGAAGGUGAAGCUUUCUUGGCUGAUUUGUAUUUGGCACCACAGAUUGAUGGUGCAGUUAGAAGGUUCAGUGUUGAUAUGAACGAGUUCCCUCUUUUGUCAAAGUUAAAUGAGGCAUACAAAGAACUCCCUGCUUUUCAAGAUGCAAUGCCUGGGAAGCAGCCUGAUACGCCACCUGAGGCGAGGGACUGAUGCAAUCAGAUCCAAAUUCGACAGAUAAUGAAUGUAUGCUUUCAUGCCCAACAAGAGUUGUUGCUGUCUAAUUCAAUGAGAGGAGCUCUAUUUUGAAUUAAUUGUUGUAUCUUGUAUAGCUUGUUAGGCUGUUUGUCUGUGCAAAUAGGAGAAGCCACUUAUUACAUGACUUUUUCAAAAGCAUAUUCACUCACAUGUGUCACCAACAGGCAACAGGUGACUCAUUUAUAAGCUUCAUUCCCUUCUUCAUUCCCUCGGACUAUAUUCAACUAUACGGUAUAUAUGUAACGUUGUGAGAGAGAGCAGAGUUGAAAUAUCUCUUUCAUAUUUCUUUUAUUUAAGAAGCUCGGGUUGGCUAUGUUUUGCAGGUGAACUCGCUCGUGUUGGUGCAGGUUCAUUAUUGUGAUUGAGUUUAUCAUCUUGGCGGAUCAAGUAGAUGGGAGUCGAUGAGCUAUGAGGACUACUACAAACGAGAAGGCUGAAGCAGAGAACGUCGUUUCAAAUGUCUAGCAAGUUGCGCGCAUUUGUAAUAUUUUUUAAUUAAACAUCUAGCUAAAUAGAAUAUAUGUGAAGUUUUCAUUAUAUUUGGAUGAUAAUGUAUGAAUAUUUUGGAUGAUAUAUAAUAUUGUUAUUGUUGAUUUUA
Salvia miltiorrhiza (redroot sage) is the source of this 900-nucleotide long non-coding RNA. RefSeq lists it as uncharacterized. The transcript has 5 exons. The record is from RefSeq and is a predicted model, not a curated record. NCBI's taxonomy places the organism in Eukaryota, Viridiplantae, Streptophyta, Magnoliopsida, Lamiales, Lamiaceae.